CUGCCAAGGGCAUGGCUGGGUAGCUAUGUACGGAAUGGAUAAGCGCUGAAAGCAUCUAAGCGCGAAGCCAACUUCAAGAUAAGAUUUCCCACCGUAAGGGUAAGAUCCCAGGAAGACUACCUGGUUGAUAGGUCGGAGGUGUAAGUGCAGCAAUGUAUGUAGCUUACCGAUACUAAUAGAUCGAGGACUUGACCAA
RNAcentral lists this non-coding RNA (196 nucleotides) under Clostridium perfringens A. RNAcentral's name for it is "partial 23S ribosomal RNA". It matches the Rfam family "Bacterial large subunit ribosomal RNA", at positions 2726 to 2925 of the family's 2925-position model. The record is from RNAcentral. RNAcentral also lists the same sequence under 2 other names. Lineage: Bacteria; Bacillati; Bacillota; Clostridia; Eubacteriales; Clostridiaceae.